Molecule: long non-coding RNA, 443 nt
Filed under: Pan troglodytes (chimpanzee)
Lineage: Eukaryota; Metazoa; Chordata; Mammalia; Primates; Hominidae
Description: long non-coding RNA NONPTRT016059
Source: RNAcentral
GUUGGGCUUCAGAAUUGCUCUGGACCAGUGAUCUUUGUAUACUUCCUAUUCUCCCCACCCCUUUGAACAGGAAUGUCUGUAGUGGUUAUCCUAUGAGUGUCUCCUAUCGUAUGUUGAAUAUGUGGGGACAAGAUAACUUGUCUUCAUACUACAUAGAUCUUUAGUUUGAGAUAUCUGUACUCAACGAGCUGUCUAUAUAUAUAUAUGUGUAUGUAUAUAUAUAUAUAUAUAUAUAUGUUUUUUUUUUUUGAGACGGAGUUUUGCUCUUGUUGCCCAGGUUGGAGUGCAAUGGCACGAUCUAGGCUCACCAAACCAUUGUUAAAAGAAGAAAAUAGUGAUUGUUAGUGCUCUGAAAAAUCAAACCAAACCAAACAAACAAUAAAUAAGUGAUCUUGAGGUUUUGUUCACAUGGCACUCUUGAUUAGAAAUACCACAUUUUCCCU